UAAUAUUAAUAUUUAUUAAUAUUUAAUACUACUACUAAUUCCUACUGUUUAUUUACUUAAUUUAAUUUAAUUUUAAAUUUUAAGCUCACCUCCCCCGCUCACCCCGCCCUUGGCAGCAGAGUCGGGCUGGCUUUCCUCCCGCCGGACGUCUUCCAACAGAUCAUCCUCUUCGAUCACCAGAGAUGGUUCCUGCCAUUGAAUCAUCCCGUGCUCGUAUUCUCCCUCCGAGUCUCCC
RNAcentral lists this long non-coding RNA (235 nucleotides) under Zostera marina. Its description in RNAcentral is "long non-coding RNA (ZMAR_LNC004059)". Lineage: Eukaryota; Viridiplantae; Streptophyta; Magnoliopsida; Alismatales; Zosteraceae. The record is from RNAcentral.